RNAcentral lists this unclassified non-coding RNA (1508 nucleotides) under Trichogramma pretiosum. RNAcentral describes it as "myeloid leukemia factor, transcript variant X1". The record is from RNAcentral. Lineage: Eukaryota; Metazoa; Arthropoda; Insecta; Hymenoptera; Trichogrammatidae.
CCAGAAUCGACUUGUAAAGAUCGAUCGUUCGUGCUUCGUCGGGCUGCUCGAAGGAUCCAACGGCGCCGAAUUUCGAAAAUCGAUUGAAAAACCAGGACGGUUACGCUUACCGCGGUCACGCUGACGUCGAGAAUUUUCUCGAGUUUACUUCUGACGCGACACGACACGACUCGUUUCUGUCUCGCGCGAGCCAAUCCAUCAACCGUACGCAGCAGUAUUAGAUACAGCAGUGAAAAAGGGAAAGGAGAUUAUCGUCACGUAAUAUUCACGUCAAAACGCCAGGGACGAGAGAAAGAUCUGGGCGAACUCAGCUUAUACAGCAGCGCGUUCAGUACAGUACAGUAGCAUCCACGGCUAGAGAAUCAGUCGAAUUCGAUCGCGCAGUGCUUUAAUCGAAUCGCGUGGCUCUUCAGAUACAUUAGAAAGUGUCGAUAGAAAAAUUCGAGUGACCAAUUUUCCAUCGUCUAACGUUCAACAAUAUGUCCAUGUACGGUCAAUCGCCUCUCGGCGAUUUGGAAGACGAUCCGAUCUAUGGCGCUCACAUGCAGUCGAUGCAGACAAUGCAGCAAAUGAACAACAUGAUGAAUUCUAUUUUACAAAACCCCUUUGGAAUGAUGGGUAUGGGAGGCAUGGGUGGCAUGGGAGGUAUGGGAGGUAUGGGUGCUAUGGGCGCUCCUGCACUGAUGGAUGUUCGUCCCCAAAGUGCCAUGCAUCCAAUGCAAAUGUCACCAUUUGGUUUUCCACUCAUGGCAUCUAUUGGUCAAAUGUUUUCUAAUAUGGACAACAUGGGAGCUAUGGUACAAAGUAAUAUGGGAAAUAUGGGAAACCCAAAUUGCCAUUCAUUCACCAGUAGUUCAGUCAUGACAAUGACCAGUGGUUCUGACGGACGACCACAAAUAUAUCAAGAAUCUACGUCAACAAGGGUAGCACCAGGUGGAGUGAAAGAAACAAAAAAAACUGUCAGUGAUUCACGUACUGGUAUUAAAAAAAUGGCAAUCGGUCAUCAUAUUGGUGAACGAGCACAUAUUCUUGAACGAGAACGAAAUUAUCACAGUGGAGAGCAAGAAGAAAGACAAGAGUUUAUCAACCUAGAAGAAGAGGAAGCUGAAACUUUCAACCACGAAUGGCAACAAAAAGCCAAACAAACAAUGGGUGCUAUUGGUGGAGCUCCUUACAGACAAAAUCUUUAUAGACCCCAUCAAAAUGAACAGUUAGCAUUGCCUGGCACAGUUCCUAGUAGUAUGACUAGUGAACAAAUUAGACAAUCGCAAAGACCUGUAGCCCAACCCAGACAUCACCAACGAAGACCUGAACAUCCGCGAAAUCAAUAUCCUAAUGGCGAUGUUCAACGGUACAGCUACCACUAAAUUAAAAAAAAACCUUAAUUAAAAAGCGCUGACUCGUUACCGAGUUCUAUAGACUAACACAGAGACCGCGACGAGCAGCAGCAGUUCCAGGGCGCACGACAACAACCACAGCGAUGACGACGACGACGAAGAAGAAGCCGA